CAGCCGCCACGGUAACACGGAGGGUGCAAGCGUUAAUCGGAAUUACUGGGCGUAAAGCGCACGCAGGCGGUUUGUUAAGUCAGAUGUGAAAUCCCCGAGCUUAACUUGGGAACUGCAUUUGAAACUGGCAAGCUAGAGUCUUGUAGAGGGGGGUAGAAUUCCAGGUGUAGCGGUGAAAUGCGUAGAGAUCUGGAGGAAUACCGGUGGCGAAGGCGGCCCCCUGGACAAAGACUGACGCUCAGGUGCGAAAGCGUGGGGAGCAAACAGGAUUAGAUACCCCUGUAGUCCCUGUCUCUUAUAC
Molecule: ribosomal RNA, 301 nt
Filed under: uncultured bacterium
Lineage: Bacteria
Description: partial 16S ribosomal RNA
Rfam family: Bacterial small subunit ribosomal RNA
Source: RNAcentral